UGCUGAUGGAUGCUCACUAUUAAAC
This 25-nucleotide non-coding RNA is filed under the name Mus musculus (house mouse). The record is from RNAcentral. RNAcentral also lists the same sequence under 1 other name. Lineage: Eukaryota; Metazoa; Chordata; Mammalia; Rodentia; Muridae.